This 1166-nucleotide long non-coding RNA is filed under the name Anser cygnoides (Swan goose). Its description in RNAcentral is "lncRNA (ENSACDG00005013178.1)". Lineage: Eukaryota; Metazoa; Chordata; Aves; Anseriformes; Anatidae. The record is from RNAcentral.
UGAAAGCCUUUCAUGAUCAUAGAGGUCUUCUGGCUAUUGCUGCUUUGGUUAUAUGGUGCAAACCAACUUUUGCUGUGAUGAGAAGCCAUCUCAGGAGGUUCUCUGCAGCCUGGCUGACCAGCAGCUUGGCUGAACAUCCUAAAAGCAGAAAGAGGAAUGAGCAGCUGCUAAGUGCAAACCUCAGAGAGAAAUCACUGUCACUCACUAAAUAAAGCCGGCUUUCUUUGCGGCUGACAUAAUGGAUGUUUUUCUCAAACAUCAACAGAUUUUUGCUUUCGGUGGGUUGAAAACAUAUAUUCUUCAAACAGGGAUAUGUUGUUUGUAUUUAACUGGGCAGCUCUAGCAGCUGUGAAGGCAACCACCGGUGCCGCCGCCUUCUUUCUGCAAAAAUAAAAAUGCCAGCCGAGGAGCGGCUUGAAAUUGCAGUAGGAAGCAUUGCCUCUUUCCUCAGGGGCAGCCCCGGGAGGGAAGCGGGGAGCUGCGGUGGGCCAGGCUCCCACCUCCCACCCGCCGGGGGCUUACCGGGCGGUUUGGCGAACCUUUUCGCCGGGGGACGGGGAGGCUAAGAGAGGGGACCAGGAGGCAGCGACGGGGAGAACGUGCUAUGUAUAGGCGCCGAGCUACAGGUGCCGUCAAUUAGCACGGAUUCCUCCGAGCCCGGCAGCUCCGCCCGUGCACCCCCCGCCCUCCAUCCCCGCCCCAGGGGCUGCCGCGGGCGGAGUGGCGGGGGGAGGACCGGAGGAGGCAGGGGAGCCUCGGGGCCGGCCGCUGCCAGCCUCUGCCAGUGCCUCCAACAGUACCUCUAACCCUGGUCCGGAGGAUGCUGCUUGCCCUUCUCCAUCGCCCCCGUGUGAGGGAGCAGCGGGUUGCUCUCCCGAGAGGCUGGAGGGCUCAGCGACCGGCAGCGGACACGGAAAUAUAUUCUUUGGAUAAUAAGGUUUGUGUCUGGGAUGCAUGUAGAGGCUUGGAGUUAAAGGUGAAGAAUCUGAUAUCAUCCUUGAGAGGAAUAUUGGAGAAGCAAAAUUCUGCAGUCAGAGAGACAUGAUACCAGGUCAAGAAAGUGAUGGGAGUUCAGCUACAAACAAUACUGAAAAGUAAAUACGUGGUGUAUUUCACUGAACAAAUGAAAGGUUGACAAAAUAAAUGAAAUGUGGCAGAUUCUGUCA